AACGAACGCUGGCGGCAUGCCUAACACAUGCAAGUCGAACGAGACCUUCGAGUCUAGUGGCGCACGUGUGCGUAACGCGUGGGAACCUGCCCUUAGGUUCGGAAUAACUCCCCGAAAGGGGUGCUAAUACCGGAUAAUGUCUUCGGACCAAAGAUUUAUCGCCUUUGGCUGGGCCCGCGUUGGAUUAGCUAGUUGGUAGGGUAAAAGCCUGCCAAGGCGACGAUCCAUAGCUGGUCUGAGAGGAUGAUCAGCCACACUGGGACUGAGACACGGCCCAGACUCCUACGGGAGGCAGCAGUGGGGAAUAUUAGACACUGGGCGAAAGCCUGAUCCAGCAAUGCCGCGUGAGUGAUGAAGGCCUUAGGGUUGUAAAGCUCUCUUACCCGGGAUGAUAAUGACGGUACCGGGAGAAUAAGCUCCGGCUAACUCCGUG
RNAcentral lists this ribosomal RNA (433 nucleotides) under uncultured bacterium. RNAcentral's name for it is "partial 16S ribosomal RNA". It matches the Rfam family "Bacterial small subunit ribosomal RNA", at positions 29 to 507 of the family's 1533-position model. The record is from RNAcentral.